AUUGAACGCUGGCGGCAGGCUUAACACAUGCAAGUCGAGCGGGGUGAUGGUGCUUGCACUAUCACUUAGCGGCGGACGGGUGAGUAAUGCUUAGGAAUCUGCCUAUUAGUGGGGGACAACAUCUCGAAAGGGAUGCUAAUACCGCAUACGUCCUACGGGAGAAAGCAGGGGAUCACUUGUGACCUUGCGCUAAUAGAUGAGCCUAAGUCGGAUUAGCUAGUUGGUGGGGUAAAGGCCUACCAAGGCGACGAUCUGUAGCGGGUCUGAGAGGAUGAUCCGCCACACUGGGACUGAGACACGGCCCAGACUCCUACGGGAGGCAGCAGUGGGGAAUAUUGGACAAUGGGGGGAACCCUGAUCCAGCCAUGCCGCGUGUGUGAAGAAGGCUUUAUGGUUGUAAAGCACUUUAAGCGAGGAGGAGGCUCUUUUGGUUAAUACCUAAGAUGAGUGGACGUUACUCGCAGAAUAAGCACCGGCUAACUCUGUGCCAGCCGCCGCAGUAA
RNAcentral lists this ribosomal RNA (503 nucleotides) under uncultured bacterium. RNAcentral describes it as "partial 16S ribosomal RNA". It matches the Rfam family "Bacterial small subunit ribosomal RNA", at positions 30 to 523 of the family's 1533-position model. The record is from RNAcentral.